UAAAACUCUGUUGUUAGGGAAGAACACGUGCAUAGUAACUGAUGGCACUUGACGGUACCUAACCAGAAAUGCACGGUUAACUACGUGCCAGCAGCCGCGGUAAUACGUAGGUUGGAAGCGUUGUCCGGAAUUAUUGGGCGUAAAGCGCUCGCAGGCGGUUCUUUAAGUCUGAUGUGAAAUCUUACGGCUCAACCGUAAACGUGCAUUGGAAACUGGGGAACUUUGAGUGCAGAAGAGGAGAGUGGAAUUCCACGUGUAGCGGUGAAAUGCGUAGAGAUGUGGAGGAACACCAGUGGCGAAUGCGACUCUCUGGUCUGUAACUGACGCUGAGGAGCGAAAGCGUGGGGAGCGAACAGGAUUAGAUACCCUGGUAGUCCACGCCGUAAACGAUGAGUGCUAGGUGUAAGGGGGUUUCCGCCCCUUAGUGCUGAAGUUAACGCAUUAAGCACUCCGCCUGGGGAGUACGUGCCGCAAUGCUGAAACUCCAACGAUUGACGGGGGCCCGUACAAGCGGUGGAC
Molecule: ribosomal RNA, 519 nt
Filed under: uncultured bacterium
Lineage: Bacteria
Description: bacterial SSU rRNA
Rfam family: Bacterial small subunit ribosomal RNA
Source: RNAcentral